AUUUAACUUUAUUUUACAUUUUGUUUUCAUUCUAGAAUCCAGGCUGACUGAUAAGCCCCUUACAUAGACACACUGUCCUUGAGAAAAAGCGAAAAGAAAAGAUGAAAAGCCUAGCAGUGACAUCUAAAGCUUCUGCAGUAAACUUAACUUCAUAUUUUACUGGAAUACUUGACACCUGUAGGGAGGAACACUGCAAAUCACAUGGCACAGAUCCACGAAGGUGAAAAUGGAGGAGGGCUUAAGAACAGGGAAGAGCUGGGGCAUGGAGGAGGCAAAGAGAAACAGGUAAAAUUAAUUCCUUCAAGGAAAAUGGGGGUGGAAGUAACAGUGAAAAGAUAUUUAUUGGCUGAGGCAAAUACGUGGGCUCAGGUGUAAGCUGUUCUCUCAACACAACAUAUCCAUUGAAUAGAUUCAUUUACUUACUAAUCA
Molecule: long non-coding RNA, 429 nt
Filed under: Pan paniscus (pygmy chimpanzee)
Lineage: Eukaryota; Metazoa; Chordata; Mammalia; Primates; Hominidae
Description: lncRNA (ENSPPAG00000044380.1)
Source: RNAcentral